Phyllostomus hastatus (greater spear-nosed bat) is the source of this 3328-nucleotide long non-coding RNA. RefSeq lists it as uncharacterized. The record is from RefSeq and is a predicted model, not a curated record. The transcript has 3 exons. NCBI's taxonomy places the organism in Eukaryota, Metazoa, Chordata, Mammalia, Chiroptera, Phyllostomidae.
AGAGAGAGAGGGCGUCAGGGUGGCGGGUCACGGACGGACUGGCCCCGGAGCACCUGGGAGGGGCCGCAGGCGCCGGGGUUGCCGGGCGGUAUCUGCAGCCUGCCCCAGGUUCUGGGACAGCACUGUGCCACCAACACCACGGGAGAGAAGGCGCCUGUCUGUUAUGGACGUGGCGCGUGACGGCCUUGCAGAGGUCCCUCCUGGGCUCUGAAAACAGCCCUCCAGCUCUCCCGGUUCCCUCGGCCAGCGCCCAGGAGUCUAAUGAUGCCCAUCCCGGGUACUCCUCUCCAGGCCGGAGCUGUGAGGGCAGCGCAGGGCUGCAGCUGGGAACCAGGAAGCCACGGUGUCCAGCCAACGGCCUUCGGUCCCAAUGUCUCUGCUCCCUUGGAGACUGAACUCUGCUUACCAGGAGACCUUCACGGUACAUCUUAACAAGUUCCAAAUAUUUGGUACAAGUGGACUAAAAUUAAGACCCCCGCUGAGCCUUCCACAGGCCCUGUCAGGACACUGCAGGGUGGGACUGUGCAGAGAACACACCCAGCGUCACGUCACGGCGGAUGGCCUGCCUGUCGGGUCUCCGGAGCAACGUGCCCAGGACCCAGGUUCAUCUGGGAACUGAUCCAGCUCUGCCCGAAGCUGAGGUCGGAGAGGACCAGCCCGACCUCUCCGCGCCUGUCUGAAGAGCGCCCUUACUCACAGCCAGGGACGCUGGGUGAAGACAAGAGGAAGGAACGGUUUGAUGGUCAAUGAUCGUCUCAUCGAGCAUCUGCAGUAACUGGGCCAUGCUGCCAUAAUCCCACAACGCCGUCACUGAGCCCUGCUCUGACCACUGCUGAUCCGGUGUUCUUCAGUUCUGUGCCACCUUUCACAGACUCACUCGCUCUUUGCUCCCUGACUCUGAUGCUGGCAAAGGCAGGAACAGGUCACUUUCCAGGCAUGUAAGCGCUCUAGUUGGGAGGUGUUGGCAGCUCGGAGAAAUUACAUAAUCGGAGAGGCAGUGGCCAGAAGGAAUUGCUACUGGCCGUCGCCACCGGAGCAUCAGAGGGCCCGGCCCGCCGCGCCCGCACCAGGAAGCAUCUCUGGAGCACGGCCGUCUCCGCCCCAGGGCCCGCGUGCGGCAGACGCUCGGCCGCACGGCCGCUCGGCACACUGCGCGCCGAGGCCAGGCUGUCGCUCGCCGGCAAAGCGUCGGCUACAGUCUGCACCGGAAAUACACCCAACUGCUCAUGUUCACCAAGCACCUGCCGACCCAAGCCCCGGGGCUGGGGACGGACCGCAGCCCAGAGCUUCUCCCCCAUCGUCUCUGAUCUUCACUCCGCCUCCGAAGAUGGGGGCUGGGGAACGGGAUCGGAUAAAGGCGACACCGUUCUAGGGGGGACCAGAGUGGAGCCCCGGCCAGUCUGACGGGGGAGCCCCCAGGCCCACACUUCUCAAGGCUCGUGACACCGCAGGGAGCUCACACUCCCAUCACGAGGAACAAAGAAACAUAAAAACUCCCUAAGGGAUAAAGAAGAGUCCUAUAUAACAAUGACAGUGUCACAAACUGGCAAGGUCAUGAUGCAGACCACAAGUGACAUCAGCAUUCGGAAGACAAGGGGGGCAUUCAGCCUUACAGUCAGGUAACCCCGAAAAGACGGCUUUGCCUGAAGCAAAACACUCAAGGCGGUGCCUCUUCGACAUUACCGGUUUUCCCCGAGACCCCGAAGCACGAAAUGGCCCAUGGCGCGCACCCAGCACUUCCCCGCUCGGAAAGCGAGGCCCCGGACCAGACGGGUCCGAGUCCCGAAGCCACUGAGCUGCUGACACAGACCGCGAGGGCGCCGGGCACCAGGCUCCGCUCUGCGCUCUUCACACGCGUCAGCUCCUCUGCGCCGCGGAGCCACCCUGUGCUGUGGCCCGCGUGUGUCGCCGGCACCCGGGUCCGCAGCCUUCGCCCGGCGAGGCCUCAGCCAGUACCCUCUCCCUCUCGUGCCCGAGCUACGUGACCGGGACAAAGGGGGACCGUGGCUUCGCUGGGCCUCCGUCUCUACAAAGUCAGCACCCCGAGUCAGAGCCGCCCCCGCCGGAGGGACCCUGUUUCUCUUCAGCGUCUACGAUGCGGACAGCAAAGCGCGCUGACCAGCAGGUGAACGGGGCGAUGCAGUUGUGCUCAGUGUUCAGGUCACAGUGUGCUGUCCACACUGGUCUCAGUGCAGCGCUCCCUUUCUCAGCCAGCCAGCCAGCCCACGGAACCGAGGUGACAGGGACGAGUUCCUCCACGCAACGUGAGCGCAGAUGGCGCGGCUGCAGACAGACGAGGAGGCGGGAGGAGGCGCUGCGGACGCUGCUGUGGACGCCCAGACCUGCCCCGGCCCCGCUCAGUGGCUCAGUGGCUACGCAGGGGCUUUCCCUUGGCCGGGGUUUCCCAGGCCUCUAGGGACGCAACUCGGAGAGGGGACUCUACUGCGCGGAUCUCUUUUGAAUAGAGUUAGUCAGUCAGCGGGUCUCUCAUGGUUCUCAUUUGUUUGUAAAAUAUGCUCAGACGGGAGCCGCACGAUCAGCUUCAAUAUGGGCAACUGGGCCUUUACUCUUUAUCCCCUUAAAGGAGAAAAGUCACCUGACUGUCGAAGACAGCCAACGCCCUCGGGGACGCGGCCCUAGCGGUCCUGGCCAGCUACACGGCUCCCCGCACCAGCUCCUGCAGACGACCUGCAGCCCCGCCAGGGCCCAGCUCUGCCGUUGCCGGUGCAGCCCUCCUCGCCGCUGCUGGUGGGCGCUGGCUGCGAGACCCGCCGCAGCUUCUGCGACCAGCAGCAGAACGGUGACCCGGCCCGCUCCCGCCAGCGUUCACCGAGGCCUGCCCACCGCGUGCAGCGUGCCGUGCCAGGCACUGCGGACGGUAAAACACGCCCAACAGGCCCCGGCUGCAGGGGGCUGCCGACCUAGGGGUGCAAUGUUUGCUUCGGGGUAGACUAAGCCCGAGAAAGCACAGGUACGUGCUGAGGAGAGUCUGAGAGAGGAGAGAGGCUGCACUUGUUUGACAGACUCGGGAGAUGUGCGUGGAAGACGUGGUAUGAAGUACGGGCCCAGGGAGACUGGCGGGGUUUCGACAAGCAGGGACUACGUGGAAGGGGGCGUCCCGGAGGGAGGGAGGGAGGGGUGGCAAAUGCCCACCAAGGCCGAGGCAAGGGAUGGCGGGGGUCACGGGCACCGUGCGGGAGGGGGGCGAGGGAGAACUCCGGAGAGAAGCGCCCCGGGGCCGCCGCCGCCGCCCUGGCGAGGGGUUUUCACAGCCUUCACAGCCGCCCGGCCCGGGGAGGAAGGGCGUGAGGGCACAAGCCCCGUGACG